RNAcentral lists this transfer RNA (69 nucleotides) under Sphaerodactylus klauberi. Its description in RNAcentral is "tRNA-Ala". It matches the Rfam family "tRNA". From Rfam's summary of the family: Transfer RNA (tRNA) molecules are approximately 80 nucleotides in length. Their secondary structure includes four short double-helical elements and three loops (D, anti-codon, and T loops). RNAcentral also lists the same sequence under 1 other name. Lineage: Eukaryota; Metazoa; Chordata; Lepidosauria; Squamata; Sphaerodactylidae. The record is from RNAcentral.
GAGGCCUUAGCUUAAUUAAAGUGACUGGGUUGCAAUCAGUAGAUGUAUUUUAGAGUUUUACAGGUCUUG